Molecule: long non-coding RNA, 440 nt
Organism: Rhododendron vialii
Lineage: Eukaryota; Viridiplantae; Streptophyta; Magnoliopsida; Ericales; Ericaceae
Exons: 3
Source: RefSeq, a predicted model, not a curated record
GAAGAAAACCCAUCAGGAGGUUUUCAACGUUAGACACACACAAAGAGAGAGAGAGAGAGAGAGAGAGAGAGAGAGAGAGAGUGGAAAGAAGAGGUGGAAGAGUGAUUGAAAACACAAUUCAGUAGGUUCGGAGGCGACAACGAGUACCCCAGCUCCACGUAGGGAGUGACUGCGUUGGUUUUCUUUUUGUUGGAGACCGAGUUUUGCAGGUAUAGGUCGGUGUCCACUACAGGUCGCGUUUUGCAUUUUGUGACUCGCUCGAGAAGUGCGUAGUUGAGGCUUGUGGGAGUCUUUGUCUCCUGGCCCGUAGAUGAUUUUUGCUUAAUUUAGUUUUGGAUAAUAGUUGGUUAUGUAAAGUUUAUUUCUUGUCAGACUUCCGCUGUAGUUUGUAAAUGACAAUCAUUUUUGAGAUGUAAAUAAAAUGUAGCUGUUGAACUGUA